AAACUCCGUGCCUAGCAAUGGGGAUGUAUUUUCAAUAAAUAAUAUUGUGCUCACAACGAAAUGUGUUUUUGAAAGCGUAUGAAGAAAGUGUUGUGAUCUAUCUAAUUUUAAAAACUUUCUAUGAUUGAUAAUACUCUGGGUCUUUUCAUAUGUACAACUAUGAAUCGGGUCUCGGUACGCGCAUCAGCAACACCGAGCUCUCCAAAUCCGGGAGAGUAGCGCCGCUCGCGGGAAUAGCCUACCAGCGGAGCGGUACUCGCUCUGCCCGUUUCGUGCGCCAACGAAAUAUCUUCGACUAGACUGAAAUCUUCUUCGGGCACCCAAUAUAAAAAAUCUCCACUGGCAUGGAGCUAGGAGCACAUUGAUAGUGAUAGUCUACAAGAUCUUGGUUUCUAUGCAUUGCCUGCCAAAGAAGAACUGAGCCCAAUGUUUCCACACAAUUCUAGUUCACAUGAGAUUUCUACAGAAACAAAUGCCUUCGUACAAAAUUCCAUGGGGGAUGUAGUAGUAUUAGGGGAAAGCAGUCCGAUAAGGGUUGGGAAGGGAAGAGAAUCAGAGAAUGAUAGGUACUGUGAUAUCGAGUUCAUAAAAAACAUGAUGGCCAAACCUAAUAGCCAUCUCAAAAAUACCGCCGCCAAUGACUUUUUAACCGUCCUGUCGAACCAAACUGGCAAGUUUAUCUUAACCAGUCGAAGCUCGACCUGCCAGUCAGUGGCGUCGUCAACCACAAAACACCCAACAAAAAAUCAUCUUCUAACUUACGAUAAUAAUACUAAUAUUAAUGAUAAUAUUAAUAAUAAUAAUAAUAAUAAUAAUAAUAAUAAUAAUAAUAAUAAUAAUAACAAUAAUAAUAAUAAUAAUAGUAAUAAUAAUAAUAAUAAUCCUAAAAUAAAUCAUCGCUCAUAUCGAGCGAAACAUAAUCAUCAAGAUGAUCGAAAAAUAAUAACAGUUAAUACACAAAAAACAAGAAAAAGAAAACAACCGGGCUCGACCGGUAAUCACAAACCGGGUAGCUCCGCCAAUAACUCUAAGUCUAUGUCUAAGACAUUAAGUGAUAAUAAGACUAGCUUUAGCGUACUAAACAUUAGGGUACUAAGUAUAAGCGUAAAUCUACGAUUAACAGGAGAUAAGUGUGCUAUCGAUGAAGGGGUACCUAGCCUAGUUAGGAUACCCAAGUCUGAUCGCCCCUCGUCAUGCCACUUUUCUCUCGACUCUCUUGACAAUUACUCCUUACUAGGAUCCUGCCUUCAUUCGGGCAAAUACAAUAAUAUUAAGUCUAAUUCUAGCCUCUUAAGUAAUAAUAACGAUAACUACAAGUCUGUGAUAUUGCUCAGCUCAACCAGUAACCAUUAUUUCCUCCGCGUUGAAAUGGACGGUGGUGCGAUUGCAACUAGUUUAUUUAAACAAAUGAAGCUAAAGUAUCAAGCUUUUACUGGUGUAAUCAAUGAAAGAAUUUCUUCAGAAAAUUUCUGUGAUUUCUAUCAAUUUAAAGAGACAUUAUACAAAGCUAUCGGAUUUAAUGCUGAGGAUGUUUUCACAGAAAGUCUGAUAAAUCCUAAGCAAUUCAUUCUAACCAGUUCGACUUUUCAAACUGCCCAGUUCAUUGACAGUGAGAGUUCUAAUGCAAUGAAGACAACAGAUGCCAUUGUAGUAAAUUUAUCUAAUAGCAAUCAGUCUAAAAAAUCUAAAGUUGCUAUUUAUUUGAAAAAUGAACAAAACUCCGAUCGAAACUUUGUUUCUGCUCCAUCGGAAAAAAUUUUCAAUAGAAACUAUUCAAUUUCUAAUCUUUUUCCGGAGGAAAAGAAUAUCAAUUACGCAAAUGAUAUGACUCGAAAUCAUUUGAUUGAUUGUGCAAGAAAUCUCAUAGCAGCAUCCAUUGGAGUUUCCAAAGACAUCUUACAAGUUCUCAAAACUGAUCUUAAACAUAUAUUAACUCUUCUUUUUGGACCACUUUGCGAUCUUGAUGAUUUUAAUUUGGCAUAUAAAAAAAGAUGGGGAAUUCCUGAUAAUCUUAGAUUGAUUGGCGGAGGUGAAAGUUCAUUAAAUGCUGGUGGAUCUGCAAAUUGGGGUUCUACACAAACUAGUACUACAAAUAAUAACAACAAUAAUCAAUCAGGUUGGGGAGGAAAUUCUGGAAAUCCUUCUGGAAAUAGUGGAGCACCUGGUAAUUGGACUGGAAGCAGUGUAAACAGAUCUGUUGCUGGGAAUCCAAAUUCAAAUCAAAAUCAAGGACCUCCAGGUGGGCAAAAUGUCUCAGGUAAUGUGAAUAAAGUAAGCAAUCCAAAUCAGCAAUCAAAUCAACAAUCAGGUCCUCCAACUUCUCAAUCGAGUGGAACAAAUCAAGGUGGUCAAAAUAGUAAUCAAUGGUCACAAGGAAAGUCUAAUAAUCCUGGAGGACCAAGUCAAAGUUCUUCUGUUCAAAAUAAUAAUGCUUCAGCCCAACAGCAACAACAACAACAGCAACAGUCAAAUUCCAGUAAUAAUAAUAAUCAGUCAAAUAAUCAGGCUCAGGGAUCUGUUAAUAGUAGUAAUACAUCUGCAAAUAAUAAUCCUUCAACAAAACAACAAUUAGAACAGUUAAAUACAGUGAGAGAAGCUCUUUUUAGUCAAGAUGGUUGGGGUUGUCAGAAUGUGAAUCAAGAUACAAACUGGGAUGUCCCAACUUCUCCAGAACCUAGUAUGUCAAAAGAUGCAGUUCCAAUGUGGAAAACACCAGUAAAUAAUGGUACAGAUUUAUGGGAAGCUAAUCUUAGAAAUGGUGGUCAACCUCCACCUCAACAACAAGCUAAAACACCAUGGGGUCAUACACCAGCAACAAACAUUGGUGGAACUUGGGGUGAAGAUGAUGAAGCAGCUGAUUCAUCAAAUAUGUGGACUGGUGCUCCAACAUCUUCUCAACCAAAUUCUGCAGCUGGACAAUGGACAACUGGUACUAGUAAUCAAAGUGGCAUGUGGGGAGGAUCUAAUUGGGGUGAUCCAAGAAUUGAUCAUCGAGAUCCUCGCGAACUUCGUUCUGUUGAUCCUAGGGAGAUGCGAGAUCCCCGUGAUCAUAGAAUGUCUUUGGAUCCUCGAGAACACAUUCGUGUAAUGGACCCAAUGGCUCGAGAUCCUAGAAUGACAGAUAUACGUGGGGAUCCUCGCGGAAUUUCUGGGAGAUUAAAUGGUGCUAAUGCGGAUGCUAUGUGGGGUCAACCACCAGGUCCUCCACAUCAUCAAAUGGGACAUCAACAUCCUUCAGGACCUCCAACGAAGAUGUUGAAUCCUUCUAAUAUAAAUCAAUGGGCUGCGCCACCACCAAAAGAUAUUAUGCCAGGUAAACCAACAGGUUGGGAAGAACCUUCUCCACCAACACAAAGAAGAAACGUUCCAAAUUAUGACGAUGGCACAAGUUUAUGGGGAAACCCUGCAGCCAAUCAGAGGACUAUACCUGGCAAUAAAGUUUCUCAUUGGAAAGAUAUUCCAACACCAAAUUUAGGACGAGGAGGAAUGCAAUGUCCUCCAGGUAUGCCACAAAACAGAAUGCCAGGUCAACCUGGAAUGAAACCAGAUGUUAGUGGACCAAUGUGGGGACAUCCUGGUGCUCCUGGUGGACGAAAUGGUAGUUGGGCUGAAGGACCACAUGAUGCAGGUUCAUGGGAUGAUCCAAAAACACCAAGUACCUGGAAUGAAGCUCAAUUAAAUCCUGGCACUUGGGGUGGACCUAGUGCGCACAAACCUAAACCAAUGGGACCCACUGGAAGCUGGGGUGAUAGUGAUAUGGAUCCUACUCCUAGUUGGGGUCAUCCUGCAAAACCUACUCUUACAAAAGAAGUUAUAUGGAAUAGCAGAGAAUUUCGAUAUCUUUGCGACUUGGGAUUUAAAAAAGAGGAUGUUGAAUUAGCAUUAAGAAAUCGAGAAAUGAAUAGAGAAGAAGCUUUGGAACUUUUAAGUCAAGUACGGCCUUUAGACCAAUGGAGAAGACAUGACGCACACUCCACUUAUGAUCCAACAAAUCAAGCUACAACUGCGCCAGCAUAUCCUAGAUUUAAUCACGUCGCACAGCAAAUGUCUUUUCCUCCGGGUGCUGGAGUGCCAAGUGGAAAUACAACUGGUAGUGUGGGAGGAUCAGUCGCUAGUGCAAGUUUAUUGAAAUUGCAACAACAGCAACAACAAACUGCUGUUCCAUUACAACAACAACAACCUAGUAGUAAUGCACCUCAACCACCUUUUAAUCAGGCUUCCAGAGCUCCACAAAAUCAACCAAGUACUCAACAAUUGCGUAUGUUAGUACAACAGAUUCAGUUAGCCGUCCAGGAAGGUUACUUAAAUCAUCAAAUUUUAAACCAACCACUUGCACCUCAAACUCUAAUACUUUUGAAUCAACUAUUACAACAAAUCAAAGUUCUUCAACAGCUUCAUCAACAACAUUCUGUACAAAGUACAAUGAAGGGUAAUGGGCAAUCUGUUCUUCAGAUCAGUGUACAAAUUACAAAAACAAAACAACAAAUAGCAAAUCUUCAAAAUCAAAUUGCUGUGCAACAAGCUACUUACAUGAAGCAACAACAACAGCAACAACAGCAGCAACAACAACAACAGCAACAUCCUGUGGCCCCAUCUCAAAGCUCAGAAUAUUAUAAGAGUUCGGUACAUGAUCCUAUGUCGGCAUUGCAAAAUAGUUUUACGGAUUUGACGAUGAAUAAAGAACCUCCUGUUAGUCAACAACAAUCAAGAUUAAACCAGUGGAAGUUACCUUCUUUAGACAAGGAUGGAGAGUUAGUUUCGAACGAGUUCUCGAGAGCACCAGGAACAACCAGUAAGCCAGCAGCUACACCGGCUGGUUUAACACGAUCACACAGUAGUCCUAACAUGAAUCCUUUGUUGGGUCAAGGAGAUGGUACAUGGUCCACCAGACUUGGAGAGAGUGGAUGGCCAGAUCCAGGUAAUACGGAUUCUACUGAUGGAAAGGAUUGGCAGUCAACUGGUGCAGCUACUGGUGCUGCUUUUACCGAUCUUGUUCCAGAAUUUGAGCCUGGCAAGCCAUGGAAGGGUACCCAGAUGAAGAGUAUCGAGGAUGAUCCAAGCAUUACUCCGGGUUCUAUUGUUCGUUCACCACUUUCUUUAGCAACGAUCAAAGAUCCAGAUGCCAUUUUCUCUUCAAGUAAUAAGACUUCACCACCGCCACAACAACCUACUAAUCCUGAUACAUCAAUACCAAGUUUGAGUAAUUCUACAUGGACGUUUAAUCCACCUGCUACUACUCCAAACGCAUUUACUAGCUCGAAAAAUACUUGGGGUGAAUCUGCACCACCGCCGACUGCAGUUACUUCAGAGCUCUGGGGAGCACCAAUGACUAAGGUUCGUGGCCCCCCACCAGGCUUAAGCAGUAAAGCCACGGGAAAUGCGAGCAAUGGCUGGGCAGGUUUUGGUACCGUCAGCAGAUCCAGUUCAUGGGGCUUUCAAUCGAGCACAAAUGCUGCCUGGGUUUCUACCUGGUUACUACUUAAGAAUCUGACGCCUCAAAUCGAUGGUUCUACUUUGAAAACCCUCUGCAUGCAACACGGUCCUGUUCAAGAUUUUCGAUUAUACCUUAAUCAUGGAAUUGCUUUAACCAAAUAUUCAUCAAGAGAUGAGGCUAUUAAGGCACAAGGUGCUUUAAACAAUUGCGUCCUGGGCAAUACAACAAUUUUCGCAGAAUCUCCUGCGGAUACCGAAGUACAUAGCUUAUUACAACAGCUUAGUCAUGGAGGUCAACAACAAGCUGGAGCAACUACGGGAGCAGGCUGGGGCUUGCGACCAUCAAAUAAAACUGGUCCACCACCAGAUACUUGGGGAGGUAGUUCCAGUCAAUUAUGGGGCGCUCCACCGAGCAGUAAUUCCCUUUGGAGCAAUGCUGGUAUAGACAGCAACGAUCAACAACGUGCUACGCCCAGUUCUCUGAACUCGUACUUACCCGGAGACCUUCUGGGAGUUGCAGAACGGAUCUCUCUUUAAUCCUUAUACUAUUAAUUUUUUUUUUUUCGAAACUAAUCGCGAAUUAUUUUAAAUAAUCAACAAUUGACGUUAUACGGAACUCUCGCUAUCAUUUAUCAUCAUAUUUGUUCAUAUAUUAAAAAAACAAGCUCUUCUGAUCUUUGUUUACAAAAUAAUUUGUAAAUUCAACAAGUGGUUUUUGACAUCUUUAUUUGAAGUAAACGUUUUGCCAUCUAAGGAAUUUUGUGAAGAAAUUGAUAGUAAUCCGUAAAUGCCAGAUCUGACGAAUAUGGUAAAUACGAUAACACUUCCCAUCCAAGCUGUAACAACUUCUGACCAUUAAAACACGAGUUAUUAAAACUAGCGUGUAAGGUCUAGCGUUAUUGUGAUGAAACUACAUCUUUCCUGUUAAUUAAUUCUUUUUGUUUCUUUUGUUUGAUGGAAUUAUUUAAUUUAUCCGAUGAUGGAAUUAUUUAAUUUAUCCGAUUGAUUGCAAUACUACGAAUUAAUCGUGCAAUUAUCAGGUAGAAACUCAAAAAAAAACAACUCCCUUGAAAUCCCACCAAACAAAUCACUUUUUCGAAAUGCUUUGCUUUGGCUUAUCUCUAUCGCUCCAUGAUCGUUUUCGUUUAAUAUUGUCGUAUUACUUUUCGUAAAUCGUAAACACUUUUCAUCUGCAGUUACGAUUCGCUUUAAAAAUGGAUCAUUUUCCUCAUGUUUGAACAGCAAAUCGCAGAUAUCAAUGCAACGGAGCAAAUUUCUUUCUUUGAGAACCCAAAUAUUCGAAACGAAACCAAGUCGUUUCAUGUGAUCAUGAGCAGUCGAAUUCAAUAAAUUCAAUCUCGUAGCAAUUUCUUAAAUUGUUAUUCAUCGGUUUGCUUCGAUCAGUGCCUUUAUUUUAUCUUCAUCAAUUUCAGGUGAUCUUUCAGAACAUGGCGCAUUUUUACAAUAUCGAAAUUGUUGAAACGAAAUUUUAAAAACCAAUUUUGACACUUGCGUAUUUUUAAUAUAUUUCUCCAUAGACUUCAUUCAUAACUUUUUUCUUACCUGAACAACAUUUUCACCUUUUCGGUAAUAAAAAAAUAAAAUAUGCCGAAAAUGCUCAUUUUAGUCUUGCAUCUUCGUUAUCAUACACAAAAAACAUAAUCGCACAGAAUCAAACGAAUUUUUCUUAUAAAUAAAUCAUGAAAUGCCAAUUUUCAAAAUAUAUAAUAACAGGGUUUAGAAUGAAGUUGGCUGGAUAAACGUUCAACUAGCAACACUUGUGUGAAAAAACUUACUUUCCAAACAAUCUAAUAUUUAUAAAGUGAAAGAAAUCGAACGAUUGAAAACGAUUUUCGAAAAUUUUCGAAAUAAUGUUCCUGAUAAGUUCAAUGUUUUUACGCUAUAUUUUAAAAAUAUAUUAUUUUGUCCAUUUGCGAGACACAAACUUGAAGCAAAUUUUAAAAAGAUUUGCGAGAUUUAUUUGAUGAUCAAUUUUAUAAAUAUAAUUUUCGUACUUUUGCUUUUUGCCAAAUUUUUCUUUUCUCUUUACUGUUAUAAU
This is an RNA transcript of Apis laboriosa (Himalayan honeybee), 7492 nucleotides long. It is a transcript of the gene named protein Gawky, with no coding region annotated. The record is from RefSeq and is a predicted model, not a curated record. NCBI's taxonomy places the organism in Eukaryota, Metazoa, Arthropoda, Insecta, Hymenoptera, Apidae. The transcript is spliced from 19 exons.